Pelobates cultripes (western spadefoot toad) is the source of this 294-nucleotide non-coding RNA. The record is from the annotation of a GenBank genome assembly. Lineage: Eukaryota; Metazoa; Chordata; Amphibia; Anura; Pelobatidae.
GUUUAUCUCUUGACUGGAUAUGAAAUUUGUGAAAUACUAAUUUUAAAGGGGGAGUGACAGUGUGCUUUUCUAACUCCUCUGCCAAUCAAACAGUUCGAUGCCAAAAAUACACUGGGUGUAGGGAGUAAAGAGCAGUAUUGCUGGACCAAGUUCCACUAUUUCUAUGGGACUUUAAGCUCCACAUGUGGCCAUUUCUUGGCGACCCCUGCUAAAUUUGUUUUUCAGAUGUAUGCAGCAGAUAGCUGAACCUAAUAUGCAGAAAAACUGUACUACCAGAGUUUUAGGAAAUCAACU